Molecule: ribosomal RNA, 578 nt
Filed under: Klebsiella oxytoca
Lineage: Bacteria; Pseudomonadati; Pseudomonadota; Gammaproteobacteria; Enterobacterales; Enterobacteriaceae
Also listed under: 1 other name
Description: partial 23S ribosomal RNA
Rfam family: Bacterial large subunit ribosomal RNA
Source: RNAcentral
AUAAUGGGUCAGCGACUUAUAUUCUGUAGCAAGGUUAACCGUAUAGGGGAGCCGCAGGGAAACCGAGUCUUAACUGGGCGUUAAGUUGCAGGGUAUAGACCCGAAACCCGGUGAUCUAGCCAUGGGCAGGUUGAAGGUUGGGUAACACUAACUGGAGGACCGAACCGACUAAUGUUGAAAAAUUAGCGGAUGACUUGUGGCUGGGGGUGAAAGGCCAAUCAAACCGGGAGAUAGCUGGUUCUCCCCGAAAGCUAUUUAGGUAGCGCCUCGUGAAUUCAUCUUCGGGGGUAGAGCACUGUUUCGGCUAGGGGGUCAUCCCGACUUACCAACCCGAUGCAAACUACGAAUACCGAAGAAUGUUAUCACGGGAGACACACGGCGGGUGCUAACGUCCGUCGUGAAGAGGGAAACAACCCAGACCGCCAGCUAAGGUCCCAAAGUCAUGGUUAAGUGGGAAACGAUGUGGGAAGGCCCAGACAGCCAGGAUGUUGGCUUAGAAGCAGCCAUCAUUUAAAGAAAGCGUAAUAGCUCACUGGUCGAGUCGGCCUGCGCGGAAGAUGUAACGGGGCUAAACCAUG